This 254-nucleotide ribosomal RNA is filed under the name uncultured bacterium. RNAcentral describes it as "partial 16S ribosomal RNA". It matches the Rfam family "Bacterial small subunit ribosomal RNA", at positions 524 to 776 of the family's 1533-position model. The record is from RNAcentral.
UACAGAGGUGGCAAGCGUUGUUCGGAAUUACUGGGCGUAAAGGGCGCGUAGGCGGUCUUCUAAGUCUUGUGUGAAAUCCCUCGGCUCAACUGAGGAACUGCACGGGAUACUGGAUGACUUGAGUUCGGGAGAGGGAAGCGGAAUUCCGGGUGUAGCGGUGAAAUGCGUAGAUAUCCGGAGGAACACCGGUGGCGAAGGCGGCUUCCUGGACCGAUUACUGACGCUCAUGUGCGAAAGCGUGGGGAGCAAACAGG